RNAcentral lists this ribosomal RNA (158 nucleotides) under uncultured bacterium. Its description in RNAcentral is "partial 16S ribosomal RNA". It matches the Rfam family "Bacterial small subunit ribosomal RNA", at positions 355 to 509 of the family's 1533-position model. The record is from RNAcentral.
UGAGGAAUAUUGGUCAAUGGGCGCGAGCCUGAACCAGCCAAGUCGCGUGAGGGAGGAAGGCCCUACGGGUUGUAAACCUCUUUUGCCGGGGAGCAACGGGCGCCACGUGUGGCGCCACUGAGAGUACCCGGAGAAAAAGCAUCGGCUAACUCCGUGCC